RNAcentral lists this ribosomal RNA (301 nucleotides) under uncultured bacterium. RNAcentral describes it as "partial 16S ribosomal RNA". It matches the Rfam family "Bacterial small subunit ribosomal RNA", at positions 509 to 807 of the family's 1533-position model. The record is from RNAcentral.
CAGCCGCCGCGGGAAUACGUAGGGGGCAAGCGUUGUCCGGAAUCAUUGGGCGUAAAGCGCGUGUAGGCGGCUCGAUAAGUCUGCUGUGAAAGUCCAGGGCUCAACCCUGGGAUGCCGGUGGAUACUGUCGAGCUCGAGUCCGGAAGAGGCGAGUGGAAUUCCUGGUGUAGCGGUGAAAUGCGCAGAUAUCAGGAGGAACACCAAUGGCGAAGGCAGCUCGCUGGGACGUGACUGACGCUGAGACGCGAAAGCGUGGGGAGCAAACAGGAUUAGAGACCCCGGUAGUCCCUGUCUCUUAUAC